RNAcentral lists this long non-coding RNA (277 nucleotides) under Lathyrus oleraceus (garden pea). Its description in RNAcentral is "Pisum sativum (pea) long non-coding RNA (PSAT_LNC005586)". The record is from RNAcentral. Lineage: Eukaryota; Viridiplantae; Streptophyta; Magnoliopsida; Fabales; Fabaceae.
AAAGGAUGAUUUUUCCAGACUCACAGCCUUGAUAGAGUCUGUGAUUGCUGCUCAGAAUCAACCAUCUCCACCUCCUACAACUCCUCCUCCUCAGAGGACUGUUAUUUCAAAGAUUUCUUUAUCAUCUGUGCCUGUGGUUGCUAGCCAGUCUAUUCCUACCAUGCCUGUUGGGUUCUCAUGAGGGAUGCCACCAAACUUUGUGCCUGAAGGGUACGUGCCAACAUUUUCUUCUGUGUUGGCAUCUAGCCCGGUACUGUCUUUACCUCCUCCUAUUGUG